CUGAGGGGAGACACCAUUAAUGUGUAUAAAUAUCUGAGGGGAGGGUGUGGAGAGGAUGGAGCCGGUCUCUUUUCAGUUGUGCCCAGUGACAGGAUGAGAGGCAAUGGGCACAAACAGAUGCACAGGAUGUUCUGACUGAAUAUGAGAGGACACUUCUUUACUGUGAGGGUGACAGAGCACUGGAACAGGUUGCCCAGAGAGGCUGUGGAGACUCCUUCUCUGGAGAUACUCACAACCUGCCUGGAUGCCAUCCUGCACAAUGUGCUCUAGGUGGUCCUGCUCGGCAGGUUCAUUGGACUAUAUGAUUUUCAGAGGUCCCUUCCAACUCUGCCCAUUCUCCCAUUCUGUGAUUCUGUGAUUCUAGCAUGUCUGGUUUAUUUGACUCUCCAUAUAAUUACUCAAGCCAAUACCUCACAUUAGCUGUCACAGUCAGCACUGUUAUUUCAGGCUUCCAUUCAGAUUUAAACUAAGAAUCAAGAAUAUACAGUUCUACAAUUGAGUAAUUGAAAAGAUCCCAUAUCUAUUGACAUGCAAGUAUACUUUAAGAUGCUUCCAAGCACCUAUCUCUUAAGAUCAUGUGUUUCUGUGAUACAUGCACUGGGUGUCUGGCAUUGGCCUACAAGACUCUCUGACAGGUUAAUAUGCAUAUAGAUUAAAUCUGUAAGAAACCGGAGAACUUACAGAUUUAUAAAUAUAGGUAUUAAUAUAUGAUGUAUAAAUUGCGGACCUGUAGAGUUACUAUACCCCUAUACCCUGUUGUAUGUAUUUUCAGCUGCUGCUCCACUCAGAAGUGUCACAGGGGAAAGGAUGCUGUCAUAAAUCACUACGAAAUGGUGUUGAAUUCUAUUUACACCGCACGCAGUUGCAGAAAGGUUACAUGUCUGUCUUUAUCCUGCCUGUCUUCUACCCUUUGCGGGAAUGAAGUGGCCACUGAGAAGAUGAGCAAGAAAGUGUGAGUAUUUGUUAUACAUCUGCCCAAUACCCAUGUCCUUUCAGCAAAUGUUUCAUCUCCUUUUAAAUAUUUUAUAUUUCUUUUGUGUUUUGUUUUUUUUUUUUUUUUUAUGAUCUGAAUAUUUCUUUUUAUAUACCUGAGAAAUCAACUUUUAUGAGAUCAAUUAUGAAGCAAAGUAUAUGAAUUCAAUGACAGAAGAUGAUAUUCACGAUUACAUGAACUUAUGUCUGCUAAGAGAUAACUUUUUGAUUUCCAGGAAAAACAUAUUCAGAUCUCGGAAAGCAAGAAACUGAAAGAACCAACAUCAUUUCAACCCCAUAUAGAUAGUACUUGCCAGUGGGAACAACGCCGAAGUUACAUGCGGUUUGUCAGAUAGCGUGGUGCUUGGCACAAAAAAAAAUAGCUGUGCUUGGCACAGCUUGGUUGAAUUGGGACUAUUAGAAGAGGUAAUUUGAAAGUCCAGUGCCCGUCAUGACUGCAUUACUGAGGUUGUGUGGCACAGGCCCUGUUGCUGAGUACCAUGCUAUGUGAUCUUAAUGGUGACUAAAAGGAAGAAGUAUAGGUGACAGCUUUCACAGGGGAGUGGUUGCACAAUUUUACCUUUCUUUUUUCUUAUUUUUUUCUUUUUUUCUUUUUAUUUUUUAAAUUAUUAUUAUUAUUUUUCCUAUGGAAUGUGGCAAAUGUCCUAUUCGGGAUGUCUGAAAGGUACAGCUCACGUCAGUGUUUUCUGAGUGUAUCAGAGCUCAGGCCAAAUGGAGACUUCAUGAUGUCUGUGUGAAGGCAUUGGCAGUUUGAUUUUGGCUAAGGUUUAACAGUUUUGAGAUAAAAGAUCAUAAAGAAGGAGAAUAAACUCGGUUUAAAAUAGAGGAGCUCA
Molecule: long non-coding RNA, 1826 nt
Filed under: Anser cygnoides (Swan goose)
Lineage: Eukaryota; Metazoa; Chordata; Aves; Anseriformes; Anatidae
Description: lncRNA (ENSACDG00005001926.1)
Source: RNAcentral